CUUGCUAAGUUUGAUGGCGACCGGCGCACGGGUGAGUAACACGUAUCCAACCUGCCGAUGACUCGGGGAUAGCCUUUCGAAAGAAAGAUUAAUACCCGAUGGCAUAGUUUUUCCGCAUGGUAGAACUAUUAAAGAAUUUCGGUCAUCGAUGGGGAUGCGUUCCAUUAGGUUGUUGGCGGGGUAACGGCCCACCAAGCCUUCGAUGGAUAGGGGUUCUGAGAGGAAGGUCCCCCACAUUGGAACUGAGACACGGUCCAAACUCCUACGGGAAGCAGCAUG
RNAcentral lists this ribosomal RNA (279 nucleotides) under uncultured bacterium. Its description in RNAcentral is "partial 16S ribosomal RNA". It matches the Rfam family "Bacterial small subunit ribosomal RNA", at positions 76 to 353 of the family's 1533-position model. The record is from RNAcentral.